UACAGAGGUGGCAAGCGUUGUUCGGAAUUACUGGGCGUAAAGGGCGCGUAGGCGGUUUUGUAAGUCCCGCGUGAAAUCCCCCGGCUCAACUGGGGAACUGCGUGGGAAACUGCGAGGCUUGAGUUCGGGAGAGGGAAGCGGAAUUCCGGGUGUAGCGGUGAAAUGCGUAGAUAUCGUGAGGAAGACCAGUGGCGAAGGCGGGUCUCUGGACAGUUCCUGACACUGAGGCACGAAGGCCAGGGGAGCAAACGGG
Molecule: ribosomal RNA, 253 nt
Filed under: uncultured bacterium
Lineage: Bacteria
Description: partial 16S ribosomal RNA
Rfam family: Bacterial small subunit ribosomal RNA
Source: RNAcentral